Long non-coding RNA from Phyllostomus discolor (pale spear-nosed bat), 11009 nucleotides. RefSeq lists it as uncharacterized. The transcript has 2 exons. NCBI's taxonomy places the organism in Eukaryota, Metazoa, Chordata, Mammalia, Chiroptera, Phyllostomidae. The record is from RefSeq and is a predicted model, not a curated record.
CAGUCAUACUGGAUUAGGACCACCCUAGAGACCUCAUUUUAAAUUAAUCACCUCUGUAAAGUUUCUAUCUUUAGUUAUAGUCACAUUCUGGGAUCCCAGGGAUUAGGACUUCACCACAAAUUUUUGUUUUGGGGGAACAUAAUUCAUCCCAUAACAGGGAAAUAUCAGUGAGCUUGAAGGUGAGGCCCAUGGAUACCUUUAGAAGCAUUUCAGACAUAAGCAAAGAUUACGGGGUAAGAGCAUGCCUGGUGGGUUUGAGAAACAGCAAGGAGAUCAGAGCAGAGUGAAGUGAGUGAGGUGGAGACAGUCGAAGGUAGGGUCCAGGAGGUCCCAGGCAGCGAUUGUGCCUGACCUCGUGGAGGCAGGCGGGAGCCACAGAAGGGCUCUGAGCAGAGGAGGGGUGUGCCCCACACCAUGCUUUAACAGAGCCCCUCUGGCUGCCGUUGGGAGGGGGAACUGAAUGGGGAGUGCUGUUGUGAUGAGCACUGCUCGUGUGUGUUUUCAGUUCUGCAGCAAAACACUGCUCUUCGCCAGCCCCAUGAGAGCCAGGCAUGGCACAGGACUGCUUUGGUUGAUGGAGCGGGAGCAGAGUGCUGUCAUGGCUUCCGGGGAAUGCUUACAAGCAUACUCCAGGCCAUGCUCUCUCUUUCCUCUGCCAUGGUGACUGUCAGUGUGGCAGAGUCAAGUCCUAGACUGGCUGCUCCCAAAACCUGGGUCCUGGAUCAUAGUCAGAGGGACAUGUAGCAGGAAAAAGAAACAAACCCGUGUGGUGUACCGCUGGGAUGUGAGGAUUGUGUGUUACCGCAGCACACCCUAGCCUGCCCUUACUAGCAGAGAAAGGAGACACACUGGGGUUACAGUGAUGGAGACACUGAUUUAUCCAUGUGGGCGGUGAUGGGGCUCCGGGCGCGGUGCUUGUAGUGGGAAUGGUAAAGACAUGAUUGGUCUCUGCACAUACUUUGAAGGUGGAGCCAAUAGGAUUUGCUACAGAUUGAACGUGGAUGAGUCCAAGAUCUGUGUCCUGAGCAGCGGGGAAAAAUGGAGGAGCUGUCAGCUACAGUAGCACCACCAAGGAGAGCCAGACUUGGAGAGGGCAGCAGGCCCUGCAGAGCUGGAGAGGUCCAUUUAACUCAGUCCCUGGGGAGGUACUGAGGGGGCGGAAGGUUAUGUGCUGAAACCACAAGCUGCCAGAGCCGACAGGGCACACCCCUGCUUUGUCUGUGGGGGCCUGGGAUUCCUUCCCACCUCUGAACACCAGGCUUCUAAGGAACAGGAGUUGGUGUAAGCCACUGGAAAAUCUUGGGUUUACGUGAGAGAAAAUGAACUCAAACUGCUUUCCGCUGUAAAAAAAAAAGAAUGUAUUGGGUCCUGUAACUGGGGGGGAAAAAUCCAAGGAUAGUUUGGAUUUCAAGUACAGCUGGCUUCAGGUGGUUAACGAAAUGUCACUUGGCGUCUGGCUCUCCCUCUCUCAGUUCUUCUCUCCUAGGUAAUGGCUGUGCCUAAAGAUCUCCCCUGAGAAGGCAAACCUAGCACCUGCAGCUUUGGGAACAUCCCACCUUUGUGCAACCCACAGGGAAAUUACUGGCCCUCUCCCUGAGAGCUCACCCAGGGCCUCUGCCAGUGCCUAUAACACCUGGGUGCAAACUAGAAAAAAAAAUAGGUAGAUGCAAUUCUACACCAGGCAAGGGGCUUGAGCAGAAUAAAACCUGGACUCUGUCUCCCACGCACCUCACUUUAGUGCACUUGACCAAUGCACAACAUGGAUAAGUCUUUGUAGUGUCUCUAGACCCAGAAAAUGACCUGGGGAGGCUCUCAUUGGCCAGGCUUAGGUCAAAUGCCCAUCCCUGAACCAAUCAAUGUGACUUAGAGGAGUGGUAUAUUGACUGGAUAGACCUGAGUCUCAGGACCCCUUGAAACUGGGAGUGAAGUUUGUCAUUAAAUCACAGUGGUCCAAAAGAGGGACUGAUUCCUGGGAGGAAAAUGGGGGUGCUGCAAAUGAGCAGAAGUCAGAAAAUGGGGUACAAGGUGCUGGGAGGUCCAAUGGAGCAGAACCAAUGGAAGUCCCCUAGUCUUUGAGAUGGGGCCGGAGUUCUGGGCAGAGUUGUUGCAGCAGCUCUGCCUUCCCGAGGAGUGGGGUGGCAAAGGAGCAGGAAAAGCUCAGAGAAUGUUUGUUGACUGAAGCAGAGAGAGUCAGCGCUUGCAGGAGCUGCCUGGAGCCCAGGCAAGCAAUCUAUGACUCCCGCACCUGAGCCCCCUAGUUCCCUACCUCAAUCCUCACCCUAUCUCUUCCCACUACUGACUCUGGUUUCCUGUAUAAUUGCUUUUUUCUGGCCGGAUUCAGUGGGUCCCUCCUUCCAGCAUCCCAGGCCCUCGCUUCCCAUAUGCCCACACCCCACCUCUGCCCAGCCUUAGCCACAUGUAGGUGGUUGAGCUGGGAGAAAAGCAGACAGAGGGAGAGCCUGUCUCCUAGGUCCUGAGAGCUGUGCUGGGUCAGGGCCCCCAGAAUAGGUCCACAGGGACCAGAAGGCCAUGGGGAAGGGUGGCUCUGGGACAGGAGGGCCUUUUUCCCUGUCACGGCUGUUCCAAGUGGGCUGGCUGCCUGGGAGGGAAUGUGGGGGUGUGGAAAGGUGCUGUAGAUAUGAUCUGGAGAAGUCAGAGCUUGAUCUUUCUGCUGUGCAUCACCUAGGGCUCAUUGGGUCUCUGGGAGGCUUGGGAAUCUGCAUUUAAGCCAGUGCCUCAGGGAAUUCCCAUGGGAAACAGUGGCCCUUGAGCAUCUGAAUGUUUGCCCAACUCAGGUUCCUGGCACAGGAAACUGUGCCCCAAACAAGGUUCAGUCAAAGUUACCCAAGAGCUCUUGGCCCUCCCCUUAAGGUGGGGCUCCCGGAGUUACUUACACUGGGAAAGGAAGGUGGGUCUGCUCACCUGCCCCGGGCCCCUGUGCCUGGCCUGGCUGUGCCGUGCCUGGCUGUGCUCUGCGCUGCUGUCUGCCGUCAAGGCACUGGGCUUUGUGCUCAGGCAGCUGUUGGCAGCCAGAUGUGAACACUGGGUCUCAGAGGGCUGAUGUCAUUUGCCCAGGGCCUCACAGCUACUCAGUGGUGAAGCCAGGAUUUGAACCCACAUCUGCCAACCUCAAAGCCUCUGUGGCUGCAACCAAAGGAAACAUGUGGCAUUCGUUAGGCUCUCAUCUGGCCCAUAGUGGCUUGUUUUUGUGUCCUUUUAUAACAAACAAUGAAAAAAAACCCCAAUCACUGACAUUUAUGGAGUGUCAGUUGCUGAGAGCCAGGCCCUUCCAUGGUGACAUCAUGUAAUCCCCUCAAUUGCCCUCAAAGGCCUGACCAUUUUCAUCCCUGUUUGUGGAGGAAACUAGACAAAGUGAGAGGGUAGACCUUUGUUUUCUUUUCUUUGCCAGCUGAUCAUUCUUCUCCCCUUUUUAUGGAACGACACCCCAAUUUCCCUUUGGGGAACCUCCCCCCUCAGUGUUGUCAGUCUGGCCAAGACUCCUCUGACUAAGGCGUAGGCACAGGACCGAGGCUUGGGCGCUCUCUCCCGGGACUCUGAUGUUUGAGUCCUGAGGCACAUCUUCAGCUUGAAGACUCUGCCUGCUGGACUUGCUCCAGGCCCCUCCUCUGAGUACUGCUGAUUCUGAGACUCUAAGAGUGACCGCCCAUCCUUCCAAUAAAUAAGGCCCCAUGUCUUUGGGUGCAGUUAGCUGAGCCCACUUCUGUUGCCAGCAAGCUAGAGUUCUAGCCAUCCAAGGGAGUUCCUAAAAUUCACACAGAGGCUGUGGAACUCAAACCCAGACGGCCUGAUGCCAGAGUCCAGCUUAGCCGCUGCCUGGGGCCUGUGGACAUUACCCAAAGUGGUUGUAAAAUUUGCAUUCUCUCCCAUGAUACAGCCGCACUGUCUUUGUAAACAGGUAAUAUCUUAAACUACUCAAAAGUUGAUUUUCAUUGUCCUCAAUCUUUGGGGCUUCGCCAGCUCCAUAGACCAGACCCUGGUACCCCAAGGGGUGUAUAUACACCCAGUUUGAGAAAGGUAUUUGGCUCCUUGCCACAACCCCAGGCCUCUGCUCAGAAAUCCCCUCCCCACACCCCGCUCACUGCUCUGGGGUUGCUGGCAGGGCCUGGGCCCUGGUCCCCUCUUCAGGGACUGGGUAGAUGGGGGUCUAGCAUGACAGUGCUUUUUAGGACCCAGUAGAUCGACUUGCCUAAGUCCUCCCCAGCUUUGGGUGUUUUCACCCAACCCUACAUUUCUGUCACAUCCACAUUCUUCCUGUGCGAUCAUUUCCUUAACAUUUUGUGUUAAAUUGCCACAUGCCCAUUCUUUUCUUGAAAAGACUUCAUUCAUACCACUGCCGGAAAGGGCACUGUGCAUAAAUAGAAUACAGCAAUGCCCAGAAAACCACAUACGUCACAGUCCAACCAGACAUUGCCAUCUGCCCUGAGCAUCAGGUCAGCCGGGUCUCUGCCAGGGAGUUCCACGGGGGCUAAUUAGGUGUUGAAGAUACCUGGCCCCAUGCUGAUCACUUCCUCUGUGAGCAUGUUAAUGUUAUUUCAGGCCAGGUUGUGUGCACGUGCUUCACAUUUUGGGAAACACUGGUCCUCACUGUACAGUUGAAAACAGAGAGGGAAAGGGUCUUGCCCACAGCCACACAGCACACCAAGGAAGAGAGACUGGAACAAAGGUUAUCCCACCCACAUUCCAGCUCUCUCUGCAGCACUUAAAGCACUUCAGAUGCUCCCAGGCAACUCCUGAUCAUCUGGAACCACAUUUUUAAUCCCCAGCAGCCACUCCCCCUCCAUCUGUUAGGUCUGGGCCCUCCUCCUCACCCCCCACUGCACCCGAAGUGCCAGUUGGUGUGGGCUGUGCAAAUGCAAACUCAUUUAAAUGUCAGCUGGAGCAACACCCAGCUAGAAAGGCAAACAGGUGACAAAAAUAGAUGUGACAAUCACAGUAUCCUAGACUGUCAGCAGGCGCUUCCAGUCCCUCUUAACCGUUCCUGGGGGUAAGCAGCCCUGGAAGAAUCAAAAUAACUGUAGACUUCUGCCCAAGGAAAACUCACACACGCAAAUAAUUUUGCAUGUCAUUUUGGAGGGGCCACAGAGCCAUCCCACCUCAACAUCUCCAGUUUUUUAAACCCGUCUCCUGGACUGGGGUCCUGAGAAAGAGUUUGUUUGCAGAAAGCAACUUGAUGCUAAGAAUUUGCAAACAACUGGUCUUGGUGCUUUUCCCCAGCAGCUUUGAGGUAACGAGCGCUGAAGAACAGCACAAGUCCACCCCAGAAGCGGUGGUGCAAGGUCCACCAUUCACAAACAGAAACCUCACCCCUGGCUUAUCUCUUUGGGAUGGUGAGCCUUGGGGUUUAUCUGAAAGGCGGGGGCACUUCUGACGAGUCAGUAAACCUCUUUAACCACUUUAAAGUGGAUCCAAGGUGAAGUGUGGGCAGGGGAGGCGACACCCAGUCUCCAGGCCUCCACAGCCGCGGCCCCUACCCGCUGCCGGCACAGUCCCAGGACACCAUCUGCACAGAACACAAAAGCAGCCACACCCUCUGGCUUAUGCAACCCCAAAGGCCUGGCCAAGGUCCUGAGUGGCCUUAAUGUGUGUGCCUUGCCCUUGCCAUCUCCUUUCCUCUGGCUUCAUACAAGGAGAGUGGAUCCCGGGGAUCAGGACCAGCCCAUACCUGCUCUCCUUCUUGUUCUAGGACCUUGUAAGCAUAAGGUCUUGGCACGACCCCAUCUGAAAUCUCUGUUCUCAGGGUGGCCCUGUUCUGUAGCCAGGAUUUGGGGAUAGGUGUCCCAACCUGAAAGGAAGUGGUAGGGAUAGAAGCUGAAUGAUAGGACUGGAGAGAGAGGCCCCUGGGACAGGAAGGAUGGAUGAUGGAUGAGCAGGGAAUGAGAAAUUGUUGAAAAGUAGCCUGCAGGGAGAGGAACAGAAGGACUGCUGGAGUCUGGCUGUGGGACUAGCAAUGUGAAGGUGCCGAUAGAGGGUGUCACGGGGCUGGGAAGGAGCAGUGUCCCCCUGCCAUGAAAGACAAUUAGAAAGUUCAAGGCUCAGAGAGCUGACUCGGUGCAGGUGGGGCUGAGAAGCCAGCUCCUGUGUUCAGCUGGGCUGAGAGGCAGGCACGUGGUGCCUGCUGAGUCCCUGCCACAGCCACCUUGCCUGCCAGGGUUUUCUGCACUGCAUGUGCUGUAAAAUGCGUCCCAAGCACAGCACCUGAGGGGGACAAAUGGUCCCUACUCAGUUGUCCCAGUUUCCUCAUCCAUGCAGUGGGGCAGUCACUUCCAGGGUUGCUGGGAGUCAGAGAUGGGUCGGGGGUGUGGAGGGUCUGUCCAGGGUCAGGGAGUGGCACACAGGCUUUCUCCCUGGGACAUCCUGCAGACCCAGUAGAUAACCUCAUGGAGGUUACACUCAGAUGCCUGUGGCAUUUGAAAAUGAGGGUGCAGUGUGGGCUGGUGGUUGCACAUUCAGUCCCCAGGCAUCCCUUUCAUCACUGAGAGGCAGAACAGCAUAGGGGCCGUGAGCACAGACUUCGGAGCCAUGUCUGGAUCCAAACCUUGGUUCUGCCACUUACCAACUGUGAACCUCUGGAUCUCAAUUUCCUCAUCUACGAAGGGCGUAAUAAGUGACAAGAUAUACCAUUAGCAAAUAGCAUACCUGCUGUUUUCUUAUCCUGCAUCAGUGGCAGACAUUGCUAAUCAAUCAAGAUAUCUGCUUUCUUCUUUGGCCCCAUGGAAAACAGUGUGAAUUGAUCAAGAUAUUCUUUCUCUCUGAGCCUCAGAAGCUUUCUGUGUGUCUAGAGCUCCAGGCAGCCAUUCCCAAUAGAUAAUAUUUGGCAUUUGAGAGGAAAUCAUUUUGCCAUCUUUGUUAUGGUGCCUACAGAGCACAACACCUGGCACAAAACUGAUUGUGUAUAAAUGUCAGUUACCAUUCAGUCUCUGCGCAGCGCAGGAAUCCUUAUCCAUUAUCCCCCACUUCUGCUGACUCACCUCCAGUGACAGGGAGCUCACUACUUCCUCAAGCUGGCCAUUCUGCUGCUGCACAGUUUUGAUGAUUAGGAAGUUCUCAAAUCUCCCUCCCUGUAUUUCCCUUAUCCCUCAGUCUAUAAUUCUAUGCAAAGUACUCCCUUCUCUCCUGGGUUAGCUGCCAUUACGGACUGAAGUGAUUUAUUUUUAGGUGAUAAAUUUGAACCACUCGAUGGGUAAAACCUUCUCUCAGCUUGCAUGUAUUUGAUCCCAGACUAGCUAAGCAGCUUCGGCAUUUGAUGGACAUGUUGGGGGGAGUAUGUGAGCAUGGAUGUGUACACACGGAUGUGGGAUGUGUCUGUGCUAGAAUGUGUGGGCAAGGGACAGAGAGGAGAGAGAGAGUAAGAGUGUAUUCUAAAGGCUUAUAAUACACCAGGCAAUGUCACUCCUUAUGUAAGCCUAAUAGCAUCUCUGAGGAUUGGGGCUGCAUUCAGGGCCCCGUCAUUAGCUGAUUAAGGCUGAUUAUUUCAAGGGGAGGGACAGUAGAGAGGGACAUAAAGUUACAUAACCCUCCAUUUGUUUGGAUUUAAUCCACACUUCUAAAUUUAGGAGCUGGAAGACUGCAAAGAUGAGCCCCUGGCAUUUGGAGGUGGCACUGGCCACACGGGGAUCGUGGGGCUGCUGAGCGCCGGAGCCCCAUGGUGCCCACAGUGGAGGGGCAUGGAAGAUCACCACAGACAUCCAGGUUGUGCGCUGUCCAAGGCCACCAUAGCAAGGUGGCCAAGGGAGCACCUCACAGCGAGGGUAGCACAGAUUCGCAUGUGUGAGGAUCAUUUUUUCAAGAUGGCCUCAUAGGAGGCUCUAACAGAAUUGUUAUUACAACACUUUUCUGGAAGCUGGAAGUCAAGUGUCUUGAGCAAAGGACAUCUUUUCCUGAUUUUCCCAAAGAGGCUUUACAGGCCAGCAUCACCUUCCUCCAGUUUCCACAGGUGCCAGCUGCACCCAGCGCUGAGUGUCAGUCACAGUGGUCCUGUUCAGGGAGGAGCUGCUGAAAACUGAGGAUAAAGAGCAGCUCCCGAGCUGUGACUAGUCUACGCAAGGUCUCAGAAACAUUUCCCAGGCCACUGCAGGGAGGUGGUAACACUCGGUAAUAGCACAUGCGAUAAAGUGCAGAUAAAAAGCACUUCAUUAACUGUAAAGAAUCCACACCCAUUUUAGGAAGUGCUAUGAAGUUGUGUCACAGGAGAACAGGAGCCAGAUUUGGCCUCCACCACUUUCUAGCUCUGCAACCUGGGAUGAAUCACUUCACCUUUCCGGGCUUCCGCUGAUCAGCUGUUGCAUGGAAAGCAGGUGGCCUGCUGCCAUGCAAGAAUCAAACGGGAAGAUGGCUGCGAAAGGCCCUGCCCCGGAGCCUGGCUCAGGCUGGAGCGGGUGCUCUAUAAAUGCUUGGUUUCUCUCCCAACACUACUUUAACAAGUGUCCAGGCCACUGGAACACUAGAAUGUGGGAAUUUCUUUGAAAUCCUAUGUACUUAGGAAAAAAAUUCAUGUCCAAUAUCCUGGCUAAAAAUACCCUUUAUGUCUGAGUCCUUGCCCACCAGUCUGAGCCUGUCUCCUACCACACUCCCCAAGCUCACUCCAAUCCUUGCUGUUCCUGAACAACGGGCCAGGCCUGUGGCCACCGCGGGACCAUUGCCCUUGCUGUUCCUCUCCCUGGAAUGGGCUCCCCUCACCUUUCUAUGCCUGGCUCCUUCUCACUGGUCAGGUCUCAGCACAAAUGUCACUUCCUCAUUGUAGUCUCUGGCACUUCAUACCACCUCACCCUGUCUUAAUUUUCUACAUUGUCCUUCAUUGCUUUCUUGUGUUUUAUCUCUUUGCUCACUUGUGUACUUCCUAUCUUCACCACCAAACCUAAGCUGCACGAGAGCAGAGAUUUUUUGUCUUGCUCACCACUGUACCCCAAAGCCCAGGUGUCUAAUAAAUGUUUGUUGAUGAAUGAACAAUGUUCAUUAGGAGAAUGAAUGGCAAGGUCAUCUCCUUCCAAGCUCACCAAGUCCCUCUGUCUACCUCUCCCUGCCUUGUUCCUUGCUCCUUCUUCCUGCCUGUUCCUGGGAUGACUUCUCUUUUUGUCCGCAUUUCUCUCUUUUAUUAAAUGACUUCCUAGCCUCUUUCUGGAUUCUCUUGCUGGAGUGGAGAGCUUAAAACAUCUUGCUCUUUCUGCUUGCAAGGUUAGUGGGAUUUUCUCAUCUUUCAGAAUCUGCUUGUCAUCUUGGGUCUUCUCCCCUUUGAUGAGGGUGAGGGGAGAGGGCACAGGGAGCCAAUGUGGGAGACACUGGCGGGCGAGAGGAGGUGCAGGGAGUGAAGAGCCCGCUGCCUCCAGAGGGGCUGAAGUCCUCAUCCCUGAGGCCCCGAGUGGAGGCUGAGUAACUACUUCUUCUAGAUGUUCCCAGCUCCACCCUCUGGGAAGAUCCUCAGUCCCAGAUGCUGCUACAGACAAGUUUACUUCUCUUUUUAUAACCAGGCUUUUACAAAUCUGCUAUGCAACUGCUUCAGUGAAUUGGUUUGGCUUAUGCCAACUGUUAAGUGGGCUAAAGAAUUUGAAUGGCAUUAACUUUACCGUUUACAAGUCUCUUGCAAGUCAUGCAAGUCAGCAAAUGUUUAAUAAGUACCUACUAUGUAUCAGAAAUGGUUCUAAGUUCUUUUCAUAUAAUAAUUUAUUCACCAGGCAGGCAGUACUAUUAUCAUUACCCCAUUUUACAGAUAAGGAAGCUGUGACCCAGAGUUAAAUUUUCUGCAGAUCUCAGUGUCUUAGCUGAUUUGGGCUACUGUAACAAAAUACCAUGCACUGAGUGGCUUAUAAAUAACUGGAACUUAUUGCUCUCAGUUCUGGAGGCUGAAGUUCAAGAUCAGGAUACUGACAUGGUCAUGUGAAGGUCAUGUGAAGAGACUAGGGAGCUCUCUGGAGCGUCUUUUAUAAGAGCACUUAUCCUAUUCAUGACCUAAUCACCUCCCAAAGGUCCUACCUCCUAAUAACCAUCAUUUUUGGGGACGAGGAUUCAACAUAUGAAUUCGGGCGGGAUGGUGGGGGACACACACAUUCAGACCAUAGCACUCAGAAAACAAGGUCUUAGGAUUUCUUCUGUGCACAGCCUCCUUCCUUAUAGCCAGGUGGAGCCCAGCCUGUCCAUCUGUCAUGUGUGCAAAAUUCUCAAAAGCAAUAUAUUUGACCCGCAAGCAACUAAGAGGAUCCAGUUUAGGGGAAGUUAAGUUGUGGACACAUUCAGUUUCAGUUUACUGAUAUAAAUGCAUGUGGUUCUAAGUCAGCCACCUUGGUGUAGAAGACGGCUUCCCUAUAGCUCACUGGGCCCACUCACCGGACUGUGAUUCAGAGAUGCUGCUUCAGAGUUCGUCUCACUGUAUGAGUGCACUUUAUGUCACCCAGCACAGAAAGUGUGCAGAUUGCAAAGGAACAUGAGGCCUGAAACGUAAGGAGCCAGAAGCUAUUUUGCAGAAAGUUCUUCCUGCCUAUCGGACACAUGAAAUUGUAAAUGGGGGAUUUGCUUCUUGUCACUGUCAUCUACCCCUAGUCCAAACCGAGUUCUGUUCAGUGGGAGUAGACUGAAUCAUGCAGAAUACACCAUAAAAAUACAACACAUUUUCUUUCUUUUGGGGGGAAGAUCAUGUAAAACACAAGAUCAGAUUUCUAUGUUUGUAGGGCACAAACUUAUACCUGUACUAAAAACAACAAAAGUCUCCACAAGAUCAUAUAGGAAAACUCAACAAUGGUGCUGAAAUGUGUGUGUUUAUAUAAAACAUUUCCAAGUACAUCUUGUGAAACUGAAACCUUCCUGAACAAUCUGUAGUAGUAAAAGCUUUAUUCAACAGGCCAUGCUAAAGGGAAAACAAUUGUCUUUCAAUUACCUAUAAACAAAAUGAGAGAAUCGUCAUCAUACAAAGGUGAUCAGUGAAGUGUUGGAGGAAGGGAUUAUAAAGGAAUGUCAGACAGUUGAUUAAUAAAAAAAAAUACUGUGUUGUUUUUCUGCUU